AAAUCCGGUUGAUCCUGCCGGAGGCUACCGCUAUUGGAGUUCGAUUAAGCCAUGCGAGUCGCGAGAAAUUAGAUUCUCGGCGUACCGCUCAGUAACACGUGGGUAACCUGCCCUAUGCUGGAUAAUAACCUCGGGAAACUGAGAAUAAUGAUCCAUAGUUCACUACGCCUGGAACGGUGAGUGGAUGAAAGCUCCGGCGGCAUAGGAUGGGCCUGCGGCGUAUCAGGUUGUAGGGGGUGUAACGUACCCUCUAGCCCUCUACGCGUACGGGUGUUGGGAGACAUAGCCCGGAGAUGGAUUCUGAGACACGAAUCCAGACCCUACGGGGUGCAGCAGGCGCGAAAACUUGGCAAUGCGAGAAAUCGUGACCAGGGAACUCCAAGU
This 384-nucleotide ribosomal RNA is filed under the name Methanobacteriota archaeon. RNAcentral's name for it is "bacterial SSU rRNA". It matches the Rfam family "Archaeal small subunit ribosomal RNA", at positions 1 to 386 of the family's 1478-position model. The record is from RNAcentral. Lineage: Archaea; Methanobacteriati; Methanobacteriota.